RNA transcript from Capra hircus (goat), 1623 nucleotides. It is a transcript of the gene named phosphomannomutase 1, with no coding region annotated. The transcript is spliced from 9 exons. Lineage: Eukaryota; Metazoa; Chordata; Mammalia; Artiodactyla; Bovidae. The record is from RefSeq and is a predicted model, not a curated record.
GGAAGCCUGGCGUGCUGCAUUUCUUGGGGUCCGCAAAGAGUCGGACACGACAGAACGACUAAACUAACUUAACUGACGGAACCUGCGAGGUUUUGCCCCUCCCGAUGCCACGGCCCUUCUCCAUUUGGUGCCAUCAGAAUUCUCGUCCCACGUCAGCGCAGGCCCGGUGUCUGCCGCAUCCGGGCCACGCCCCUUCCCAAUUUGGCGCUCUCCGAUCUGCCUGCUGGCCCCGCCCCCUUAGGCCCCGCCCCGUCCGUCCUCUAUCCCAAGCGGCUCCGGCGGCCCCAGCCAUAGUCUCAGCUGGGCGCCGGGAGCUGCAACCAUGGCCGUCACCGCUGAGGGCGCCCGCAGGAAGGAGCGCGUCCUCUGCCUGUUUGACGUGGACGGGACCCUCACGCCGGCUCGCCAGAAAAUCGACCCAGAGGUGGCUGCCUUCCUGCAGAAGUUGCGAAGUAGGGUGCAGAUCGGUGUGGUGGGCGGCUCUGACUACUCGAAAAUUGCCGAGCAGCUGGGAGAGGGGGAUGAAGUUAUCGAGAAGUUUGAUUAUGUGUUUGCUGAGAACGGGACGGUGCAGUAUAAGCAUGGACGGCUGCUCUCCAAGCAGACCAUCCAGAACCACCUGGGGGAAGAGCUUCUGCAGGACCUGAUCAACUUCUGCCUCCGCUACAUGGCCCUGCUCAGACUGCCCAAGAAGCGUGGGACCUUCAUCGAGUUCCGGAACGGCAUGCUGAACAUCUCGCCCAUCGGCCGGAGCUGCACCCUGGAGGAGCGAAUCGAGUUCUCCGAACUAGACAAGCCGCCUCAGAGGACAGGGUCUGAGGACAUUGAGGCCAGAGAGCAUGUGAACCAGCCUGAGGACACCGUGCUGGUCUCUGCUAAGGCUGGACUUGAAGGAGAAGAUCCGGGAGAAGUUCGUGGAAGCCCUGAAAACCGAGUUUGCCGGCAAAGGACUGAGAUUCUCCCGUGGAGGCAUGAUCAGCUUUGAUGUCUUCCCCGAGGGCUGGGACAAGCGCUACUGCCUCGACAGCCUGGACCAGGACUGCUUCGACACCAUCCAUUUCUUUGGGAACGAGACCAGCCCUGGCGGGAACGACUUUGAGAUCUACACCGACCCCCGGACCGUCGGCCACAGCGUGGUGUCACCGCAGGACACGGUGCAGCGAUGCCGUGAGCUCUUCUUCCCAGAGACAGCCCACGAGGCGUGACCAGGGCCCAUACCUGCCCCUCGGGACUUCAGGGAGCUCUGCCCACGCCGAGAGAGCCCCUGGCCCAGCGCUGGGGGUGCCAGGCCCCUCCUCUGGCCCAGCACCCCUGCCUCGUGUUAGCUACUGAAGGCCCAGCUCUACGGGCCCAGGGUCUGUGUGGACAGCCACCCGCAGCCGGUCAGCUCCUGGUGGGCCUGGCUUCCAGCCUUCAGCCCGACCCGAUGGCCCUGGCUGCAGCUGCUGCCCGGACUCUUGGCAGAACAGGUCUCUGUCUACGCGGGAAGUGUGUGCGAAUGUUGGUACGAGAUAGAGCCCGCCCUGCCUGCCUGCCCGCCCUCCAUGGGGUGCAGAGCAGUGGGGACCAUGCACAUUCGUGAGAACUUUAUCUCCUGGAUAUUAAACUCUGUGGAGAGUGAUA